Molecule: ribosomal RNA, 2309 nt
Filed under: Salmonella enterica subsp. enterica serovar Typhimurium
Lineage: Bacteria; Pseudomonadati; Pseudomonadota; Gammaproteobacteria; Enterobacterales; Enterobacteriaceae
Description: partial 23S ribosomal RNA
Rfam family: Bacterial large subunit ribosomal RNA
Source: RNAcentral
UGACUGCGUACCUUUUGUAUAAUGGGUCAGCGACUUAUAUUCUGUAGCAAGGUUAACCGUAUAGGGGAGCCGUAGGGAAACCGAGUCUUAACCGGGCGUUAAGUUGCAGGGUAUAGACCCGAAACCCGGUGAUCUAGCCAUGGGCAGGUUGAAGGUUGGGUAACACUAACUGGAGGACCGAACCGACUAAUGUUGAAAAAUUAGCGGAUGACCUGUGGCUGGGGGUGAAAGGCCAAUCAAACCGGGAGAUAGCUGGUUCUCCCCGAAAGCUAUUUAGGUAGCGCCUCGUGAAUUCAUCUCCGGGGGUAGAGCACUGUUUCGGCUAGGGGGCCAUCCCGGCUUACCAACCCGAUGCAAACUGCGAAUACCGGAGAAUGUUAUCACGGGAGACACACGGCGGGUGCUAACGUCCGUCGUGAAGAGGGAAACAACCCAGACCGCCAGCUAAGGUCCCAAAGUCAUGGUUAAGUGGGAAACGAUGUGGGAAGGCCCAGACAGCCAGGAUGUUGGCUUAGAAGCAGCCAUCAUUUAAAGAAAGCGUAAUAGCUCACUGGUCGAGUCGGCCUGCGCGGAAGAUGUAACGGGGCUAAACCAUGCACCGAAGCUGCGGCAGCGAACGUAUCACCCAAGACAACUUUACGGAGUUGACGAUUGACGGAGCGAAGCGACGUCAAAGCGUUCAUUAAAGUCGAGUUGGCUUAGGGAUACGUUCGUUGGGUAGGGGAGCGUUCUGUAAGCCUGUGAAGGUGUGUCGUGAGGCAUGCUGGAGGUAUCAGAAGUGCGAAUGCUGACAUAAGUAACGAUAAAGCGGGUGAAAAGCCCGCUCGCCGGAAGACCAAGGGUUCCUGUCCAACGUUAAUCGGGGCAGGGUGAGUCGACCCCUAAGGCGAGGCCGAAAGGCGUAGUCGAUGGGAAACGGGUUAAUAUUCCCGUACUUGGUGUUACUGCGAAGGGGGGACGGAGAAGGCUAUGUUGGCCGGGCGACGGUUGUCCCGGUUUAAGCGUGUAGGUGUGUGUUCCAGGUAAAUCCGGUUCACUUUAACACUGAGGCGUGACGACGAGGCACUACGGUGCUGAAGCAACAAAUGCCCUGCUUCCAGGAAAAGCCUCUAAGCAUCAGGUAACACGAAAUCGUACCCCAAACCGACACAGGUGGUCAGGUAGAGAAUACCAAGGCGCUUGAGAGAACUCGGGUGAAGGAACUAGGCAAAAUGGUGCCGUAACUUCGGGAGAAGGCACGCUGACACGUAGGUGAAGUGAUUUACUCAUGGAGCUGAAGUCAGUCGAAGAUACCAGCUGGCUGCAACUGUUUAUUAAAAACACAGCACUGUGCAAACACGAAAGUGGACGUAUACGGUGUGACGCCUGCCCGGUGCCGGAAGGUUAAUUGAUGGGGUCAGCGUAAGCGAAGCUCCUGAUCGAAGCCCCGGUAAACGGCGGCCGUAACUAUAACGGUCCUAAGGUAGCGAAAUUCCUUGUCGGGUAAGUUCCGACCUGCACGAAUGGCGUAAUGAUGGCCAGGCUGUCUCCACCCGAGACUCAGUGAAAUUGAACUCGCUGUGAAGAUGCAGUGUACCCGCGGCAAGACGGAAAGACCCCGUGAACCUUUACUAUAGCUUGACACUGAACAUUGAGCCUUGAUGUGUAGGAUAGGUGGGAGGCUUUGAAGUGUGGACGCCAGUCUGCAUGGAGCCGACCUUGAAAUACCACCCUUUAAUGUUUGAUGUUCUAACGUGGACCCGUAAUCCGGGUUGCGGACAGUGUCUGGUGGGUAGUUUGACUGGGGCGGUCUCCUCCUAAAGAGUAACGGAGGAGCACGAAGGUUGGCUAAUCCUGGUCGGACAUCAGGAGGUUAGUGCAAUGGCAUAAGCCAGCUUGACUGCGAGCGUGACGGCGCGAGCAGGUGCGAAAGCAGGUCAUAGUGAUCCGGUGGUUCUGAAUGGAAGGGCCAUCGCUCAACGGAUAAAAGGUACUCCGGGGAUAACAGGCUGAUACCGCCCAAGAGUUCAUAUCGACGGCGGUGUUUGGCACCUCGAUGUCGGCUCAUCACAUCCUGGGGCUGAAGUAGGUCCCAAGGGUAUGGCUGUUCGCCAUUUAAAGUGGUACGCGAGCUGGGUUUAGAACGUCGUGAGACAGUUCGGUCCCUAUCUGCCGUGGGCGCUGGAGAACUGAGGGGGGCUGCUCCUAGUACGAGAGGACCGGAGUGGACGCAUCACUGGUGUUCGGGUUGUCAUGCCAAUGGCACUGCCCGGUAGCUAAAUGCGGAAGAGAUAAGUGCUGAAAGCAUCUAAGCACGAAACUUGCCCCGA